This 236-nucleotide ribosomal RNA is filed under the name uncultured bacterium. RNAcentral's name for it is "partial 16S ribosomal RNA". It matches the Rfam family "Bacterial small subunit ribosomal RNA", at positions 118 to 351 of the family's 1533-position model. The record is from RNAcentral.
UGAGUGACCUGCCCUUAGCUCUGGGAUAAGCCUGGGAAACUGGGUCUAAUACCGGAUAUGACUCCUCAUCGCAUGGGUGGGGGGUGGAAAGCUUUUUUGUGGUUUUGGAUGGACUCGCGGCCUAUCAGCUUGUUGGUGAGGUAAUGGCUCACCAAGGCGACGACGGGUAGCCGGCCUGAGAGGGUGACCGGCCACACUGGGACUGAGACACGGCCCAGACUCCGUACGGGAGGCAG